Molecule: ribosomal RNA, 447 nt
Filed under: uncultured bacterium
Lineage: Bacteria
Description: partial 16S ribosomal RNA
Rfam family: Bacterial small subunit ribosomal RNA
Source: RNAcentral
AACGAACGCUGGCGGCAGACUUAACACAUGCAAGUCGAACGCCCCGCAAGGGGAGUGGCAGACGGGUGAGUAACGCGUGGGGACAUACCCUUUGGUGCGGAACAACAACUGGAAACGGUUGCUAAUACCGCAUGAGCCCUACGGGGGAAAGAUUUAUCGCCAAAGGAUUGGCCCGCGUCGGAUUAGCUAGUUGGUGGGGUAAUGGCCUACCAAGGCGACGAUCCGUAGCUGGUCUGAGAGGAUGAUCAGCCACACUGGGACUGAGACACGGCCCAGACUCCUACGGGAGGCAGCAGUGGGGAAUAUUGGACAAUGGGCGCAAGCCUGAUCCAGCCAUGCCGCGUGAGUGAUGAAGGCCCUAGGGUUGUAAAGCUCUUUCAGCGAGGAGGAUAAUGACGUUACUCGCAGAAGAAGCCCCGGCUAACUUCGUGCCAGCAGCCGCCGCCG